This 384-nucleotide ribosomal RNA is filed under the name Triticum aestivum (bread wheat). RNAcentral's name for it is "partial small subunit ribosomal RNA". Lineage: Eukaryota; Viridiplantae; Streptophyta; Magnoliopsida; Poales; Poaceae. The record is from RNAcentral.
AUGGACACCAAUAGAGCACCUGGACCCGAUAAUAUUCCAGCAGAGUUCUAUCGAUUCUAUUGGGAUGUUGUUAAAGAUGAUAUUAUGAACUUGUUUAAGGCCUUUCAUGAAAGGACGCUGGAUGUAGAGAGAUUGAAUUAUGGGACUAUUACCCUGAUUCCUAAAAUUAACGGGGCCAAAAAUAUCCAAGAAGUUCGACCUAUUUGUCUUUUGAGAUGCCCCUAUAAGUUGAUCACCAAAGUUUUGGAUAACAGGGUUGCCGUGUUUGCUUACAAACUUAUCAGUCGCCACCAAAAUGCUUUUAUCAAGAAACGUAAUAUCAUGGAUGGGAUCCUGACAUUGCACGAAAUUCUACAUCACACUCAUGUCAAGAAGAAAACAUGA